RNAcentral lists this ribosomal RNA (587 nucleotides) under uncultured bacterium. RNAcentral's name for it is "partial 16S ribosomal RNA". It matches the Rfam family "Bacterial small subunit ribosomal RNA", at positions 355 to 1375 of the family's 1533-position model. The record is from RNAcentral.
UGGGGAAUUUUGGACAAUGGGCGAAAGCCUGAUCCAGCAAUGCCGCGUGUGUGAAGAAGGCCUUCGGGUUGUAAAGCACUUUUGUCCGGAAAGAAAUCCUUGGCUCUAAUACAGUCGGGGGAUGACGGUACCGGAAGAAUAAGCACCGGCUAACUACGUGCCAGCAGCCGCGGUAAUACGUAGGGUGCAAGCGUUAAUCGGAAUUACUGGGCGUAAAGCGUGCGCAGGCGGUUUGCUAAGACCGAUGUGAAAUCCCCGGGCUCAACCUGGGAACUGCAUUGGUGACUGGCAGGCUAGAGUAUGGCAGAGGGGGGUAGAAUUCCACGUGUAGCAGUGAAAUGCGUAGAGAUGUGGAGGAAUACCGAUGGCGAAGGCAGCCCCCUGGGCCAAUACUGACGCUCAUGCACGAAAGCGUGGGGAGCAAACAGGAUUAGAUACCCCUGGUAGUCCACGCCCUAAACGAUGUCAACUAGUUGUUGGGGGAUUCAUUUCCUUAGUAACGUAGCUAACGCGUGAAGUUGACCGCCUGGGGAGUACGGUCGCAAGAUUAAAACUCAAAUGAAUUGACGGGGUCAUAGCUGUUUCCU